UACGUAGGGUGCAAGCGUUGUCCGGAAUUAUUGGGCGUAAAGAGCUCGUAGGCGGUUUGUCGCGUCUGCUGUGAAAACCCGAGGCUCAACCUCGGGCCUGCAGUGGGUACGGGCAGACUAGAGUGCGGUAGGGGAGAUUGGAAUUCCUGGUGUAGCGGUGGAACGCGCAGAUAUCAGGAGGAACACCAAUGGCGAAGGCAGAUCUCUGGGCCGUAACUGACGCUGAGGAGCGAAAGCAUGGGGAGCGAACAGG
Molecule: ribosomal RNA, 253 nt
Filed under: uncultured bacterium
Lineage: Bacteria
Description: partial 16S ribosomal RNA
Rfam family: Bacterial small subunit ribosomal RNA
Source: RNAcentral